UACGUAGGGGGCAAGCGUUGUCCGGAAUUAUUGGGCGUAAAGCGCGCGCAGGCGGUGAUUUAAGUCUGAUGUGAAAGCCCACGGCUCAACCGUGGAGGGUCAUUGGAAACUGGAUCACUUGAGUGCAGGAGAGGAAAGUGGAAUUCCACGUGUAGCGGUGAAAUGCGUAGAGAUGUGGAGGAACACCAGUGGCGAAGGCGACUUUCUGGCCUGUAACUGACGCUGAGGCGCGAAAGCGUGGGGAGCAAAC
This 250-nucleotide ribosomal RNA is filed under the name uncultured Bacilli bacterium. Its description in RNAcentral is "partial 16S ribosomal RNA". It matches the Rfam family "Bacterial small subunit ribosomal RNA", at positions 524 to 773 of the family's 1533-position model. Lineage: Bacteria; Bacillati; Bacillota; Bacilli. The record is from RNAcentral.